CAGCCGUAAACAAUGUGCGUUAGGUGUGUCGGUAACCACGUGUUACUGAUGCGCCGAAGAGAAAUCGUGAAACGCACCACCUGGGAAGUACGGUCGCAAGGCUGAAAUUUAAAGGAAUUGGCGGGGGAGCACCACAACAGGUGGAGCCUGCGGUUUAAUUGGAUUCAACACCGGGAAGCUCACCGGAUAGGACAGCAGAAUGAUUGCCGGGCUGAAGACCCUGCAUGACUAGCUGAGAGGAGGUGCAUGGCGUAGACGUCU
RNAcentral lists this ribosomal RNA (261 nucleotides) under uncultured archaeon. RNAcentral describes it as "partial 16S ribosomal RNA". It matches the Rfam family "Archaeal small subunit ribosomal RNA", at positions 748 to 1009 of the family's 1478-position model. The record is from RNAcentral.